CCCUUAGAUGUUCUGGGCCGCACGCGCGCUACACUGAUGCAUUCAACGAGUUUCUUCCUGGUCCGAGAGGAAUGGGUAACCUUUUGAAAGUGCAUCGUGAUAGGGAUAGACUAUUGCAAUUAUUGGUCUUCAACGAGGAAUUCCUAGUAGACGUAGUUCAUCAGACUGCAUCGAUUACGUCCCUGCCCUUUGUACACACCGCCCGUCGCUCCUACCGAUUGAAUGCUCAGGUGAGCCAUUCGGACCUUCAUCAUGCCGGUUUCCGGUUUUGAUGAGGGAAAGUCUUGCGAACCUUAUCAUUUAGAGGGAGGAGAAGUCGUAACA
This 324-nucleotide ribosomal RNA is filed under the name uncultured eukaryote. Its description in RNAcentral is "partial 18S ribosomal RNA". It matches the Rfam family "Eukaryotic small subunit ribosomal RNA", at positions 1470 to 1796 of the family's 1831-position model. The record is from RNAcentral.